UUCAGGGGUAAACCUGAGAAACCCGAAAGGUCGAAAGGGGAGAUUCAGCGUGUCUCGAUCGUGGCGCUGGACGGUCGUGCGACGGACGGCGUACGCGUCGUUCGCGCCUUUCGUUCUCCGAACUGCGUUUCGAACGCGUGCACUUCUCCCCCUGUAGGACGUCGCGAUUCGUUGGGUGCCGGCCUAAGGCCCGAGGUGGAGUUCGUCCGGACGUUUCGGCGUUCGUGACGAACCCUCGGUGUUUCCCGGUCGGCUCGCUCGACGAUAUACAGAUGGCGCGGGGCCGCUACAUUUUUAAGUUAGCGUUCGACCUUCGGCAAGCGCGCUCCUCGCGACGGUGAUCGGACCCGGUGCCGGUCCCGUCCCCGGGCGACUGUUGGCCGAGGUGUUCUCGAACAGACCUCGUCGAAACGCCGAUCUGCGACGCUAUAGCUUUGGGUACUUUCAGGACCCGUCUU
This 458-nucleotide ribosomal RNA is filed under the name Gnaptorina himalaya. Its description in RNAcentral is "partial 28S ribosomal RNA". The record is from RNAcentral. Lineage: Eukaryota; Metazoa; Arthropoda; Insecta; Coleoptera; Tenebrionidae.